AGUGAACGCUGGCGGCAGGCCUAACACAUGCAAGUCGAACGGCAGCACGGCAGUAGCAAUACUGUGGGUGGCGAGUGGCGGACGGGUGAGGAAUACAUCGGGAUCUACCCUGUUGUGGGGGAUAACGUAGGGAAACUUACGCUAAUACCGCAUAAGAACUGAGGUUGAAAGCGGCGGACCGCAAGGCGUCGCGCGAUUGGAUGAACCGAUGUCCGAUUAGCUAGUUGGCGGGGUAAAGGCCCACCAAGGCGACGAUCGGUAGCGGGUCUGAG
Molecule: ribosomal RNA, 272 nt
Filed under: uncultured bacterium
Lineage: Bacteria
Description: partial 16S ribosomal RNA
Rfam family: Bacterial small subunit ribosomal RNA
Source: RNAcentral